Long non-coding RNA from Sarcophilus harrisii (Tasmanian devil), 461 nucleotides. RefSeq lists it as uncharacterized. The transcript has 2 exons. The record is from RefSeq and is a predicted model, not a curated record. NCBI's taxonomy places the organism in Eukaryota, Metazoa, Chordata, Mammalia, Dasyuromorphia, Dasyuridae.
CUCCGUGCCGGCCCCCGCCCAAGGACUUCACUUUGCAGCCUCUUAGGUUCCGCCACCCCGGAGUUUCUUCUCCCUCUUCUCAGUCCUCCCCUGAGCCUGGCGGGGGCUCGGAAUAAAGCUCGAGCUGGUUUCCACGGGCUACAGUGGCUGUGUAGUGAAGGGGCGCAUCCCACAGGUCUGAGGGGGAAGACGGCAGAUGCUGCCAUGUCUGGACUGCCCAGCAGGUGGUGACCAAUUCACACUAGGAGAAUGGUGAAGCUCCGAAGAGGGAGGGAGAGGGGGAGCAAACGGCCAGGAUCUGCUCAUCUACUGCACAGGGAUGGGAAAGGCUCUAAUUAUCUUAGUUUCUCCAUGGAUAAAACAUUUACACUGAUCCCAAGUCUCUUGUUUGGCAAUGGUCAAUAAAUAUUAAACUACAUGAAAUUAACUGUGUUAAGCUGGAAAUACAAAAAAAAAAAAAA